UACGUAGGGGGCGAGCGUUGUCCGGAUUUAUUGGGCGUAAAGAGCGUGUAGGCGGCCAGGUAGGUCAGCUGUGAAAACUCGAGGCUCAACCUCGAGAUGUCGGCUGAAACCAUCUGGCUAGAGUCCGGAAGAGGAGAAUGGAAUUCCCGGUGUAGUGGUGAUAUGCGUAGAUAUCGGGAGGAAUACCAGUGGCGAAGGCGGUUCUCUGGGCCUUACCUGACGCUGAGACGCGAAAGCGUGGGGAGCGAACCGG
This 253-nucleotide ribosomal RNA is filed under the name uncultured bacterium. RNAcentral describes it as "partial 16S ribosomal RNA". It matches the Rfam family "Bacterial small subunit ribosomal RNA", at positions 524 to 776 of the family's 1533-position model. The record is from RNAcentral.